GUCAGCAGCCAUAUCACCCUGCAACUCACAACUGGCAGCCCACUGAAGCUAAGCAGGUGUGAGCCUGGUCAGUACCUGGAGGGGAGACCUCCGGGGAAAAAUUAAGGUUGCUGCCGGAA
RNAcentral lists this ribosomal RNA (119 nucleotides) under Lepisosteus oculatus (spotted gar). Lineage: Eukaryota; Metazoa; Chordata; Actinopteri; Semionotiformes; Lepisosteidae. The record is from RNAcentral.